Daphnia pulex (common water flea) is the source of this 992-nucleotide long non-coding RNA. RefSeq lists it as uncharacterized. The record is from RefSeq and is a predicted model, not a curated record. NCBI's taxonomy places the organism in Eukaryota, Metazoa, Arthropoda, Branchiopoda, Diplostraca, Daphniidae. The transcript has 4 exons.
ACUUGGACUGAAAUGGAAACAUGGAGCCAUUUCAAACUCAAACACUAGAUGAGGAAAGUGACUUGAGGACCCAUGUUUCGAGAAUAGAACUUGAUUUGAUUUGUUAGGUAACUUGAGUCUGAUGGAAAUGUGAGUUGGUUCACCCCAACGAUCUCUUGCUUUAUGUAAUGUUCACUCGUAACGGAGGAGGACUCACGUGGAAUAUCCCGCCAGUGAUGGACUGAUGAUGGCGUAUUCUUGAAUACUUGAUCAUUUCUUGGAAUUCACCUCAGUGAUAAAUUUGAGAAACACUUUUCUGUUUACACUUUUUCAUACGGCUUCUAGACAUCAAUAAAAGGCUUUGUGAAAUUGGACUAUUUCAGCUGUCCCUGUUGUCCAUUCAUGCGAAAAAGAGUGGACUGUAGCAACAAUCAGAUGCCACACGAUCAUGGAUGGCAGUGAUACAGAAUAUGGAUCCACAUGCAUGGGUUGUGCAAAAAUAAAAGAAGAAAGAAUAAGUGAUGGCUGAAAUAUCCUGAGUUGGUAGUCUGCUGGUCCGACUUAUUGCAAGCUGACGUGAACGCGUCGAGUCAUCGCAACGAUUUGCUCGAAUGGCCCUGCGAGCACAUCACGACUUGCCGGCUAGGAUGUUCACGGGUCUUCAUGGAAAAUAACGCAUAGUACAUUGCUGUGCUGACUGCGCAGCUAUAAAAGACACAGGACGAAAAACAGCCAGUCGAUGCAAGAGAUAACAAUCGUUCCGUUACGAUCUACUAACCCCCAGAUAAGUCAUCACUUAUGUUUUCUAUAGUGUAAAUAUAUAUAAUACAGUACUACAAAUUUCUUUCUCUUUCCCUGGCUCCUAUUCUAGGAUUCUUUUUCAUGUUUGGAGAUAUCCAGAAGAAAGGCAAAAAAAGAACACAAGAUGAACAAGAGAAAAAGAUUAGGAAUGCUCCGCUUGUAGCUCGGCCGUGUCCCGCUUGCGGCGACAACGAGAAAAAGGGAAUCGAAUC